Long non-coding RNA from Bactrocera oleae (olive fruit fly), 275 nucleotides. RefSeq lists it as uncharacterized. NCBI's taxonomy places the organism in Eukaryota, Metazoa, Arthropoda, Insecta, Diptera, Tephritidae. The record is from RefSeq and is a predicted model, not a curated record.
UGUGCCUUCAUUUUUAACAUACUAGUAUGUCAAAGAAUACAUCAAGCAGAUGGCAUUGGGCCAAACUAUUUUUCGCUCAUCGAUAUUGUAAGACAAACCCACUACAGUAGGGUCUACGUAACCGGACCAGACCCGGAUAUUUAUCCGGCGAAGGACUGUCAACUCGGCAGCAUUCCUUCAAAUUACUUAAGAAUGUUUUCUACCACUAUAACAACAAAAAUACGAACGUUUUAAUAAAUUUUUAAAAAUAUAUUACGGUUAGUGUAUUAAAAAUA